RNAcentral lists this ribosomal RNA (137 nucleotides) under Jaculus jaculus (lesser Egyptian jerboa). The record is from RNAcentral. Lineage: Eukaryota; Metazoa; Chordata; Mammalia; Rodentia; Dipodidae.
GUCUCUGGCCAUACCAUCCUGAAUGUGCCCAAUCUUGUCUGAUCUCGGAAGCUAAGCAGGAUUGGGACUGGGAGGGAGAAAAGAGCCUCUCUUUCUUUGUAUCUUCUUUCCACUCAAACCUAAGUCUGCAAGAGCAA